GCGAACAAAUAAUGAUAAAGGCGGCUCUGAUGUUGAGUAGAUUAUCAUAAUUGGAGAUAGGUCAGGUACCUCGGGUACCCUGGAGUAAGGUGAUCUCUGGAUACCCUCUUGCAUCAUAAUAAACAAUACUUUUUCUAGUAGUAUGACUUUUCUUUGUUGGAUUGGUGGCCCAAAUCGAGACUGAAACCGAGUCUUCAACCGGGGUACCCCGUUUUUCAUCUUUGGGUAUUCGAGGAUCCAAAGGUGCCUCCAAUUCACAUUUGGGCUUAAUUUGUUCCCCGUGGGGUACCCCCGCAUAACUCUAGAGUAACUAGUUAUGGGGUACCCUACCACCGAGGCCUCGGUGGUGGCUCUUGCUGCUCUGGUGGUGGCGAUCUUGGAGGUUGGGGUACCCGUGAGAUACCCUAAGUGUUAAACACUCGUCCCCGCGGGGCAACCCUUGGAGGGCUCUGCAUUUGGGGUACCCUUGGUAUUGGGGCUUCCGGCCUCUUUGGCUUAUUCUUAUUCUUUGUGACCUCAACCUUACCUUUUUGGCGCUUCAAAUGACAUUUCUCAUCCAUCUCCACUUGCUGCAACGCCUGGGAACGGGCUUAAUCUAGUCCUGUGGGGUACCCCGUAUAACUCUAGAGUAACUAGCUAUGGGGUACCCUACCACCGAGGCCUCGGUGGUGGCUCUUGCUGCUCUGGUGGUGGCGAUCUUGGAGGUUGGGGUACCCGUGAGAUACUCUGAGUGUUAAACACUCGUCCCCGCGGGGCAACCCGUGGAGGGCUCCGCAUUUGGGGUAC
RNAcentral lists this long non-coding RNA (786 nucleotides) under Citrus sinensis (sweet orange). Its description in RNAcentral is "long non-coding RNA (CSIN_LNC004666)". The record is from RNAcentral. Lineage: Eukaryota; Viridiplantae; Streptophyta; Magnoliopsida; Sapindales; Rutaceae.